UAUGCUGAAUUUUUGUGCUUAAUUUACAUGUGCAUACCAAAGUGAUACCGUGCAUGAUUUAAUUAAAAAUUACGGUGUGUGAAGCAUUGGAUCAGUAGGGAAACCCAAAAUUAUUAUCUUAGCGGACUCAGCGCCACUAUGCGGCAUCUCACGCGCAUCGCUACAGAGGGAUAUAGGCGUUAGCGGUCUUCCACUUCGUUGUCUAUGCUUUUAUAACCCUCUACUUAUCCAUCGUUUUUUAUCUGAACUACUGAGUUACUGGGAAAAACCGAUGAACAGGAAUUUCUGUUUCUCGUUCGAUUUCGGCACACAGAUCACCAACGGACGUUUGAAAGAAGCAAGUGUUGCACCCUGUAAUGAAAACUAUGACAUAAGCAGACGACAAAACGCGAUUCGUGUUUUCGUUUAACGACCGUUCAAAGUAAAAGGCAAUCUAAACAAAGCAAUGUACAGCCUCCGCGACUUCUCUCAGAAAGAAAAAGAGCUAAUGAAAUUCGCCGAAUUGUCUGGAAUCGUUAUGAAUCCCAGAAUUCUGAGCAUUUUCUAUUUCUCAGAAGCAUCAUUGAACUCCUUCAGGCAAACACUUCUCCAGCAUCUAUCAUACAAAUGUUGAAUGAAUUAUCAAUCUUUCGUGUUCAGGAGAAGACAAGGAGACAAAAGAUGCUAAAACAUUUGAGCGAAAAAUGAUUUUGUAGCAAAUGAACUUGUUUCUCUUCAAAUAUAUUUUUUAAAUUCCC
Daphnia magna is the source of this 737-nucleotide long non-coding RNA. RefSeq lists it as uncharacterized. The transcript is spliced from 5 exons. NCBI's taxonomy places the organism in Eukaryota, Metazoa, Arthropoda, Branchiopoda, Diplostraca, Daphniidae. The record is from RefSeq and is a predicted model, not a curated record.